This 496-nucleotide ribosomal RNA is filed under the name uncultured bacterium. RNAcentral describes it as "bacterial SSU rRNA". It matches the Rfam family "Bacterial small subunit ribosomal RNA", at positions 26 to 518 of the family's 1533-position model. The record is from RNAcentral.
AGGACGAACGCUGGCGGCGUGCCUAACACAUGCAAGUCGAACGGAACUGUUUUGAUUGAUUCUUCGGAUGAAAGAUUUCAGUUUAGUGGCGGACGGGUGAGUAACGCGUGAGUAACCUGCCUCUGAGAGGGGAAUAACGUUCUGAAAAGAACGCUAAUACCGCAUAACACAUAAUUGCCGCAUGGUGAAUAUGUCAAAGAUUUUAUCGCUCGGAGAUGGACUCGCGUCCGAUUAGUUAGUUGGUGAGGUAACGGCUCACCAAGACCGCGAUCGGUAGCCGGACUGAGAGGUUGAACGGCCACAUUGGGACUGAGACACGGCCCAGACUCCUACGGGAGGCAGCAGUGGGGGAUAUUGCGCAAUGGGGGCAAAACCCCCUGACGCAGCAACGCCGCGUGAAGGAUGAAGGUUUUCGGAUUGUAAACUUCUUUUAUCAGGGACGAAAAUUGACGGUACCUGAUGAAUAAGCUCCGGCUAACUACGUGCCAGCCGCGGC